RNAcentral lists this ribosomal RNA (1164 nucleotides) under Escherichia coli. RNAcentral describes it as "partial 23S ribosomal RNA". It matches the Rfam family "Bacterial large subunit ribosomal RNA", at positions 1220 to 2368 of the family's 2925-position model. The record is from RNAcentral. Lineage: Bacteria; Pseudomonadati; Pseudomonadota; Gammaproteobacteria; Enterobacterales; Enterobacteriaceae.
GUUGUUGGGUAGGGGAGCGUUCUGUAAGCCUGCGAAGGUGUACUGUGAGGUAUGCUGGAGGUAUCAGAAGUGCGAAUGCUGACAUAAGUAACGAUAAAGCGGGUGAAAAGCCCGCUCGCCGGAAGACCAAGGGUUCCUGUCCAACGUUAAUCGGGGCAGGGUGAGUCGACCCCUAAGGCGAGGCCGAAAGGCGUAGUCGAUGGGAAACAGGUUAAUAUUCCUGUACUUGGUGUUACUGCGAAGGGGGGACGGAGAAGGCUAUGUUGGCCGGGCGACGGUUGUCCCGGUUUAAGCGUGUAGGCUGGUUUUCCAGGCAAAUCCGGAAAAUCAAGGCUGAGGCGUGAUGACGAGGCACUACGGUGCUGAAGCAACAAAUGCCCUGCUUCCAGGAAAAGCCUCUAAGCAUCAGGUAACAUCAAAUCGUACCCCAAACCGACACAGGUGGUCAGGUAGAGAAUACCAAGGCGCUUGAGAGAACUCGGGUGAAGGAACUAGGCAAAAUGGUGCCGUAACUUCGGGAGAAGGCACGCUGAUAUGUAGGUGAAGUCCCUCGCGGAUGGAGCUGAAAUCAGUCGAAGAUACCAGCUGGCUGCAACUGUUUAUUAAAAACACAGCACUGUGCAAACACGAAAGUGGACGUAUACGGUGUGACGCCUGCCCGGUGCCGGAAGGUUAAUUGAUGGGGUUAGCGCAAGCGAAGCUCUUGAUCGAAGCCCCGGUAAACGGCGGCCGUAACUAUAACGGUCCUAAGGUAGCGAAAUUCCUUGUCGGGUAAGUUCCGACCUGCACGAAUGGCGUAAUGAUGGCCAGGCUGUCUCCACCCGAGACUCAGUGAAAUUGAACUCGCUGUGAAGAUGCAGUGUACCCGCGGCAAGACGGAAAGACCCCGUGAACCUUUACUAUAGCUUGACACUGAACAUUGAGCCUUGAUGUGUAGGAUAGGUGGGAGGCUUUGAAGUGUGGACGCCAGUCUGCAUGGAGCCGACCUUGAAAUACCACCCUUUAAUGUUUGAUGUUCUAACGUUGGCCCCUGAUCGGGGUUGCGGACAGUGUCUGGUGGGUAGUUUGACUGGGGCGGUCUCCUCCUAAAGAGUAACGGAGGAGCACGAAGGUUGGCUAAUCCUGGUCGGACAUCAGGAGGUUAGUGCAAUGGCAUAAGCCAGC